UACGUAGGGGGCAAGCGUUGUUCGGAAUUACUGGGCGUAAAGGGCGCGUAGGCGGCCCGCUAAGUCGAACGUGAAAUCCCCGAGCUCAACUCGGGAACUGCGUCCGAUACUGGCGGGCUUGAAUCCGGGAGAGGGAUGCGGAAUUCCAGGUGUAGCGGUGAAAUGCGUAGAUAUCUGGAGGAACACCGGUGGCGAAGGCGGCAUCCUGGACCGGUAUUGACGCUGAGGCGCGAAAGCUAGGGGAGCAAACGGG
RNAcentral lists this ribosomal RNA (253 nucleotides) under uncultured bacterium. Its description in RNAcentral is "partial 16S ribosomal RNA". It matches the Rfam family "Bacterial small subunit ribosomal RNA", at positions 524 to 776 of the family's 1533-position model. The record is from RNAcentral.